CGGACGGGUGAGGAAUACAUCGGAAUCUACUCUGUCGUGGGGGAUAACGUAGGGAAACUUACGCUAAUACCGCAUACGACCUACGGGUGAAAGCAGGGGAUCUUCGGACCUUGCGCGAUUGAAUGAGCCGAUGUCGGAUUAGCUAGUUGGCGGGGUAAAGGCCCACCAAGGCGACGAUCCGUAGCUGGUCUGAGAGGAUGAUCAGUCACACUGGAACUGAGACACGGUCCAGACUCCUACGGGAGGCAGCAGUG
RNAcentral lists this ribosomal RNA (254 nucleotides) under uncultured Stenotrophomonas sp. RNAcentral's name for it is "partial 16S ribosomal RNA". It matches the Rfam family "Bacterial small subunit ribosomal RNA", at positions 99 to 356 of the family's 1533-position model. The record is from RNAcentral. Lineage: Bacteria; Pseudomonadati; Pseudomonadota; Gammaproteobacteria; Lysobacterales; Lysobacteraceae.